CACACUGAUGGAAGGUGGAAAUGUGACAUUUUAACCUGUCUUGUCUUAUUUAUAAAUCAUAACAAAAGGCAUCCAAAAGCUGAGAGAUUUGGAGAAUGGAGAGAAGGGCGAGUUGGCCGAGUGAAGAUGAGGUAAAUAAAAUGAGAGAAAUAGCGAGUUCAAUGUCGGGGAGGAGGUGCGAGGAAGUCCGAGUGGUGGUGUCUCCUUAUAGGAUUUGUCCCCUCGGCGCUCACAUUGAUCAUCAGGGUGGAAUUGUUUCCGCCAUGACCAUCAACAAAGGAAUUCUCUUGGCCUUUGUUCCUUCACCUGAUUCCCAGGUCACAUUAGGCUCCGCACAAUUUAGUGGAACCAUUAGCUUCAGUGUUGACCAACUUCAAUUCCCCAAACCAAUUAUCAAAAAAGAAGACUCUAACUGGGGACAUUUUGCCAGAGGAGCUCUCUAUGCAUUACAGAGUAGGGGACACACUAUUACACAGGGCAUCACAGGAUUUAUCAGUGGAUCUGAAGGUUUUGACAGCUCUGGCCUCAGUUCUUCCGCUGCUGUUGGAAUUGCUUAUCUGUUGGCUUUGGAAAAUGCAAAUAACUUAACUUUUCCUCCAACUGUAAAUAUUGAAUAUGACCGGAUUAUUGAAAAUGAAUAUUUUGGCCUGCGAAAUGGCAUACUUGAUCAAUCAGCCAUACUGCUUUCAAGCCAUGGUUGCCUAACAUGCAUGAACUGCAAGACUAAACAACACAAGCUUAUACUUCCGUCAAAGUCGUUGAAACCAUACAAAAUAUUAGUUGCAUUCUCGGGCCUCAGGGAUGCUUUGACCAACAACCCUGGAUACAAUCGUCGUGUUGCAGAGUGCCAAGAAGCUGCAAGAAUUCUACUUAAAGCUUCCGGAAAUGACAAUGUGGAGCCUGUUCUUUGCAACGUUGAACAAGAGGCAUAUCAAAUGUACAAGUGCAAGUUGGAUCCUAUUCUAGCCAAAAGAGCAGAACACUUUUUCUCAGAGAAUAUGCGGGUUAUCAAAGGACUUGAAGCUUGGGCUACCGGCAACAUAGAAGAAUUUGGGAGGCUCAUUUCAGCUUCUGGUUUAAGUUCUAUUCAAAAUUAUGAAUGCGUAUAGAGAUAGUACCAAAGGAAGAGGAUCAAACGGUGUUUCGGCUCAAGGAAAAUCUUUGUUUCACCAAGUGGUUGAAAGAUAUGGUAUGUGAAAAAAGUGAGCAAGAUCUAAGGUAGAUAUGAGAACCACUGCAGGUGAUUGUGUCUUCGUGGGAGGGAACUUGGUGUUAUGGAAAAAUAAGAAGCAUAAUAUUGUCUCUCGUUCAAGCGCGGAACUAAAAUACAGAUUUACGGCGCAGUCUGUUAGUGAAAUACUGUGGAUAUAUCAACUCGACAUAAGUGGGUCUUACAACUCCAUAACCAGAAAAAUUAUGGCUUGAUAAUCAGGUUGUGAGCCUUUGAUUCAACUGUAUGAGAUCCUUUUGAGGGCUCCAGGCAUUUUCGGGGCACGGUUUAGUGGUGCCGGAUUCAGAGGAUGUUGUGUUGCAUUUGUAGAUUCUAGUUUUGCAGGAGA
RNA transcript from Mercurialis annua (annual mercury), 1559 nucleotides. It is a transcript of the gene named galacturonokinase, with no coding region annotated. The record is from RefSeq and is a predicted model, not a curated record. The transcript has 14 exons. NCBI's taxonomy places the organism in Eukaryota, Viridiplantae, Streptophyta, Magnoliopsida, Malpighiales, Euphorbiaceae.